GGUCCCUUCGUCUAACGGUUAGGACAUCGCCCUUUCACGGCGGCAAUACGAGUUCGAAUCUCGUAGGGAUCACCA
Molecule: transfer RNA, 75 nt
Filed under: Alphaproteobacteria bacterium
Lineage: Bacteria; Pseudomonadati; Pseudomonadota; Alphaproteobacteria
Also listed under: 2 other names
Description: tRNA-Glu
Rfam family: tRNA
About the family: Transfer RNA (tRNA) molecules are approximately 80 nucleotides in length. Their secondary structure includes four short double-helical elements and three loops (D, anti-codon, and T loops).
Source: RNAcentral